This is a non-coding RNA of Paramuricea clavata, 234 nucleotides long. Lineage: Eukaryota; Metazoa; Cnidaria; Anthozoa; Malacalcyonacea; Plexauridae. The record is from the annotation of a GenBank genome assembly.
UAUUGUUAUUAACUUCAACUUCAAUAGUAUGAACUGCAUAUACGUGAUGAAUUAUGGCAAUAACGAUUAUAGGAACUGAGGAGGGGUGAAUUGGUUAAUUGGAAACGAUAAGUCGAGAGAUAAAGGAGAGAAAAGGAAAGGCAACCCUGUACGCGUUUCGACCUAACAGUCUUCUUCAGCAGGGUUUUUUAAGAGGGGUGCAGGUAGAAUUUGCAGAGGAGAAUGAAGGAGAGG